AACCUGUUCAGCAGAAAGUCACAUUUUAUCUCGUAUGCAGUUUAAUAUAUAUUUGUACAAUAUUGAAGAUCAGUAACGUAGAACAGGUGAGGCGAAAUGGGGUUUAACGUCGUACUUAAGAAUAUUUCCCUCAUAGGACGACGUGCAUACUUGUGUAUCUGUGACUGCUUGUGCUAGACCAGACAUAAGCUGGUUUUAUAGUGCUAGCUCACUGAGAUUCCAUGCUGCAGUUAAGCAUGAACACCCCACUCAGACACAUUAUACUGACUCCGAGCCGACCAGUCCUUGUUGUACCCAUUAAUGUCGAGCGCCAGGCAGGGACCGACAAGUACCAUAUUUUAACGUCUUUUGGUAUGACGCGGUCGGGGAUCGAACCCGCGACCUUCCUCUCUCUGGGCUGACGUUCUAACCACUAACACGGAGGCGGUACGAUCUUCAGUAACACA
Long non-coding RNA from Haliotis rubra (blacklip abalone), 446 nucleotides. RefSeq lists it as uncharacterized. Lineage: Eukaryota; Metazoa; Mollusca; Gastropoda; Lepetellida; Haliotidae. The transcript is spliced from 3 exons. The record is from RefSeq and is a predicted model, not a curated record.